Molecule: ribosomal RNA, 463 nt
Filed under: Pila virens
Lineage: Eukaryota; Metazoa; Mollusca; Gastropoda; Architaenioglossa; Ampullariidae
Description: partial large subunit ribosomal RNA
Rfam family: Bacterial large subunit ribosomal RNA
Source: RNAcentral
UUAUUUAACGGCCGCGGUACUUUGACCGUGCAAAGGUAGCAUAAUCAUUUGCCUUAUAAUUGAAGGCUUGUAUGAAGGGUUUGACAAGAAUUAAUCUGUCUCUUAUGAAUUAAAAUGAAAUUGACUUUUAGGUGUAAAGGCCUAAAUAUUACUAAUAGACAAGAAGACCCUAUUGAGCUUUAAAGAUUUGUAGAUAGUGUAGAUUAUAUAUGAGUGAAAUUAUAAGCUGUUGGGAUUUUUAGUUGGGGCGACUAUUGGAACAGGUGAAGCUUCCAGAAUUUUGUAAUAUUUAAUAUUAAUUUAUUUAAAUUGGAUCCAAAAUAUUUUGAUUAAUAGAAUAAGUUACCAUAGGGAUAACAGCAUAAUCUAUCUUAAGAGCUCUAAUCGAAAGAAAGGUUUGUGACCUCGAUGUUGGAUUAAAAUAUCCUAAGGGUGUAGAAGUUCUUGAGGGUUGGUCUGUUCG